This 468-nucleotide ribosomal RNA is filed under the name uncultured bacterium. Its description in RNAcentral is "partial 16S ribosomal RNA". It matches the Rfam family "Bacterial small subunit ribosomal RNA", at positions 28 to 507 of the family's 1533-position model. The record is from RNAcentral.
GACGAACGCUGGCGGCGUGCUUAACACAUGCGAGUCAAACGGAAAGGCCCUGCUUUUGUGGGGUGCUCGAGUGGCGAACGGGUGAGUAACACGUGAGUAACCUGCCCUUGACUUUGGGAUAACUUCAGGAAACUGGGGCUAAUACCGGAUAGGAGCUCCUGCUGCAUGGUGGGGGUUGGAAAGUUUCGGCGGUUGGGGAUGGACUCGCGGCUUAUCAGCUUGUUGGUGGGGUAGUGGCUUACCAAGGCUUUGACGGGUAGCCGGCCUGAGAGGGUGACCGGCCACAUUGGGACUGAGAUACGGCCCAGACUCCUACGGGAGGCAGCAGUGGGGAAUAUUGCACAAUGGGCGGAAGCCUGAUGCAGCAACGCCGCGUGCGGGAUGACGGCCUUCGGGUUGUAAACCGCUUUCGCCUGUGACGAAGCGUGAGUGACGGUAAUGGGUAAAGAAGCACCGGCUAACUACGUG